This is a long non-coding RNA of Alexandromys fortis (reed vole), 6897 nucleotides long. RefSeq lists it as uncharacterized. Lineage: Eukaryota; Metazoa; Chordata; Mammalia; Rodentia; Cricetidae. The transcript is spliced from 3 exons. The record is from RefSeq and is a predicted model, not a curated record.
CAUGUGGGAUGGAGCCCGCAGAGGGAGGCCACAGGGCAGACAGUGUUAGGAUUUCAAGGGAGGUGCCGAAUGCUGGAGUUUCCCACAACACCCUCUUACUGCAUCCCCUCUAUUUUGGGAGCCAGUUCCCUAAGAAUCUGAUUAUAACUUCUCUAGUAAAGGGGGCAUUCCUGACUACUUGCCAAUGUCCCUCACCCAUCUCUGAUGACAGGCAGGUCCCCAUCCUGGGGCCUCAGUGGCCCCAGCUAGAAAGGGAAGUUCUUUCAAGCCCCGAGGUCAUAUGAUAUUUGCAGCGGAUGGGAAGCUCUCAGUGUCACUUAGAUUCUACCCAGAAUAUGACCUCCUUUCUUUCACUAUAGCUUGUGCCUAGUGUUGGUGGUGUGGUUCACUUCCCUGUUCUUGGCCCUCCUAGGUCAAUCAGCGCAAAUGGGAAGGUGAACUAGAGGAAGCCCUGUGGGCUGCAGGCAAGUCUGCAGAUGCAUGCUUGCUUUCAUACCUGCUAACUUGGCACCCAAGUACCAGUAAGCCAGGCUGGGCAGGCAGCCAGGCAAUAGUCAGACUCUUAGCUUUGCUUUGAAGCAGUGGCUGUCUGGGUUCUCUUCUAACUGCCUGAGGAAGCUUAAGGGUUAAGGAAUUCAGGGGACAGCAUGCACAGUGGGAUGGAGGCCCUCUGAGAUAGCCAAAGGUGGGGUGGACAGGCUAGUAGGAGCCCCCAGACUCAAGCCUAUGCGACAUCCAGUCCCAACCUCAACCUGGCUAUCAUCUCUGUCACCUUCAUUCAUAGUCAUGAGGGCUUUUACUGUUGACGUUUUGGAUUUUGUGAAAUGUCACAACCUAGGAAACCCUAUUAGUGGUAUUCUCUGUAAUGGACACAUUCUCUUACCCACUGCCACACUGAUACCCGCUGUUCUCGAUAAGCCACCCAGACUCCAUAUAGGUAAACAAGGAAGGAAGCCACCAUGGGAUGGAUGCUGAGACCUUUUACCUGUUUUGCCUCUAUCCUGGGCUUGAUGAGUGAGGUGGGCUGCAGGCUCCGCAAGUUCUGGAAGUCUUUGGUCCAGGGACAAGAUCCAUUCCAUCAACUUGAUACUUGGUUUCCACAGUGGGGGCCUGACACCACAAAUCCCCACUCAGGGGCUUGCAGCAGUAGCCAAUGGAGCAGAGAGGACAGCCGAAGCUGAGAAACAGAAGUGAGGGACUGACCAGCACCUGAAGGUCAGGAUGGGAGGACAAGAGGUGCUCCCUCCCCCCAAAAUGACCCCAAGAUAUGCUUAUGAUAAAUAUGCAAUCAGAACUAUGAAUUUUUUUUCUCAUCCCAAAGUCGAGGAAAUUACCUCAGAACAGGGCUGCGGUGAGUUGGCCGGCUGGAGUAAGGAGAGUCCGGACCAGUGCCACACUAGUUAGUGGCUCUCCAUCUUCCCAAUGUUGCGACUCUUUAAUACAAUUCCUCAUGUUAUGGUGACCCUCAACCAUAAAAUUAUUUUCGCUGCUACUUCAUAGCUGUAAGUUUUCUACUGUUAUGAAUCAUGAUGUAAACAUCUGCUAUGCAGGAAUGUCCAAUAUGCAACUCCUAUGGAGGGUCAGCCAACCUCCAAAGGGGUCUUGAUCUACAAGUUGAGAAUUGCUGCUGUAGAACCAUCCCUGACCAUUCCCCAACAAUGGCAUUGUCAGAAUUCUAACACCCUCUGGUCUUGUCUCGGUGUCAUCUAUGUGAGGAUUUCCCAGGGGUACCCCCCCAAAUUAACUGCUCUUCCCUCCAGACCCCUAUGAACCUUGUUUGUCUCUCAUUAACCCCUUCUCUUGCCCUGAGACUGGAGGUGGUCCUCUAGCCUCCAUGGCCUGCAAUCUCUGCAGAACCAAGCCCUUCCUUACCAUCUGUGUCUCCAGCCCUUCUGUACUGAACAGCACAUAGUAUGUACUCAGUGAACGAGAGAGAAGAUGAAGUCACUCAGAAGGUCCUGUUGCUCCACCCUGGGGGUUGCUCAAAGCUCAUUACUCCAGCCACUGCUCACAGUCCUAAAUACGGAAGUAUGAAUCCCAGUGCAGGCAGAGGUACAUCCUGCAACCUGUGCUUCAGAGCGGACUCCCUGGGAGUCUCUGGAGCAGGCUGGACAGUGAGGAUCCUGGGCCCCUGUUCUUGCCUGGGGAGAGGACUUAGCCGAGUCUUUAUCUGAGAGGCCACGACUGUGAUGGUUCUAUCUUUCCAUGACCCAUUUUCUCCCCUGGAAAUGUCAUUCUGAUGUCCAUUCGGUUCCUGUCAGAAGCCCAGUGAGCAUCAGGACCAAGGAUGGCAGAAGGCUGCCCUGAUGCCUUUCUCCGAGUGACAAUUGUGGAAUCUUGGCUUCUUCCCAUUCGUCCCAGAACUGCUGGGUUUGAAGUGCAGCUUCUGAGAGACUUGGAUUUAGACAGUGAGUACAGGCCUGUUGGGGUCACAGGGCUCCACAAAGCUAAAGCCAAGCCCAGCCACCCACCCUUGCUCACUGUGGGCUGUGCCCUCUCCCUCCACAUGGAAGGCUCUGCACUGGGCCAUGAGGUUUCAGCCUGGGCUUCCAAGUCAGAAAAGCCUGAGUUCAAAUCCCAGGCCUGGAUUUAAGGAGCUCUUCCCACAAGGAAACCUCUGCCUCAAAGUUGCUGUUUUGUUCAACCCAUAAAGCUGUUUUCGUCGUGUCUGAGCCCCAGUCUCUCCCUUUCCCUUGUAGAGGAGAAGGUGAUGAAAAUUUGUUUUGUAGGAACUGGGAGACAGCUGUCAAUUCACUGUGUUUCCCAGUGAGGUUUCUGUGAGGUCCCAGGCCUGGAGGAGAACAUUCUGUGGGAAGAUGGGCAUCUCCCACCAUGGCACCCAUGCUGCUGAGGCCUUAUGAGGCCUCGGGGAAGGGCUUUACUGGACCCAGGGUAGUAAAGGGUAGUACUUUACUGGGUCUGUGGGUCUUUUCCUGACCUCCUGCAUGCUGCCAUGGGAUUUUGGAAGGUCCUGAUCUCCUUGUCCAAAGCUGGAGACUCUGGCAAAGGUCAGUCUGAACUGUGUAGACAUUGGAACCACUGUGAUUUACAGUGUUUUCCUGAGGAUAUAUAGACAUUUAUAAAAAAGCCCUAACAGAAUAGCUUUGCAAACCUUUUUCACCAGCAAGGGGAAAAAUGGUGAGGGAAAGGUUAAAAAGAAAAAGGGAUUUGAGCCAAUAACUUGGACUUUCUGCGGGCCAGCUGGAGAGAAGCGAGUAGCUGGGUUUUCUUUCCAGGGGAGUGCGCUGGGGCCAACUGAGUUGCUGCCAACCCUGAUGGGCCUGUGGCCAAGACCUUGAGGAGGGGUGCAGCUGCCCCCAUGCCCUCCAGGCCCUGUGUCUCCCACUGUGUGCUAAGCAAGGCUCUUCCUGUACUGGGGGCAAGGUGCCAGAGGUCCCCCUUGGGGCCCGGCUUGUUGAGGUUGGGUCAAGCUCUGCUUCUCCCUGGAUAGCUCUCAAGGGAGACAAGAGAGGGGACCUGAGAACUGGGGUCUGAGGCCUAAUCAAGGAAGAUCCAGUGAUGGCUGUCUGUCUGUCAAGGCUGGGGUGAAUGACUAGGCAGAGUCUGGCCGGGGUUUGGCCAGAAGACCUUGAGCUUGAAGGCAGGAGGGACGGUCUCUUGCAUUCUCACCUGCCACAGGUGACAGUUUAUUUGUGACAAUUUUCAGCUGUCCCUGCAGACAAAGGCUAAGUCUCCACAGCAGCUCUUCUUCCCUCUCCCUGCCCCCAGAGACCCAUCCAGACCCAGGCUGUGUUUGCUCUGUGGGUAGCAGAGGGUCCACUGCCUGGCUGGGUAGAUUUCUGUCCUUCCUCAGGUUGCAGAGGUACACAAGGACUUUGUAGUCAUACUCCCCUGUGAGGAAGUCGUAAGAGUCGUCCAAGCCAGCAAGGAAGGGGAGAGGCAGCAGGACUGGCCAGGUCUCUCGCCAGCCGGGCAACACUGUCAGGUACUGGAAGUUCCUGACACUGCCUGGCCCAGUGAGUGAGCAGUGGCAGAUGGAGAGCUGGCCGGAAGGGGUCUUCUCCCAUCAGAGACUCCUAAAUUCUGACUGACAGAGACCAUGAGCACAAAGCAUGGAGGUGCGUGCAGAUCAUCCAGGGAGAACCUGUAUCGUUCCCAUGUGCCACAGAACGGGCCUCCGAUAAGAUGCCUUCUGCCCCUGGGAAGCUACUUCCUGUCUGGUCCUCUGCUGCUCCUCUUCCGUGUGACGUCCAAACACCACAGCUUUAAAAAGCACUACUACCCCAAUGCCUGGCCAUUAUGAACUGGAUGAAAACAAGAUACAACACAAUCUGGUUGUCGAUAUUAAUUUGCCUGAAGGAACCCAGUACUCUUCCACGUAAACUGCACUUUCCUGGGGCGGGGCGGGGGGGGGGAUCUGGGCUGGGCCCCCUCUUAGAUGAAGACUGCUCUUCCACGUCACAGCUCUUGCUUGCUGGUUUUCCUCACGCCAACAGCUGGUCUGCAGCUGUCCAUCUGCUGGCCUGGCUCCAGGCUGAUAGGGAUGAUUUGGUAAUAGAAAAAGCUAUGGCACAGCCAUGGGGUUACAGCUCUCCCAAAUCACCCAGAGUCGCCUUAGAAACGGGCCACCGCCUACCACCUUCCCUCGCUGAUGUGACUAGAGUGUGGAUUUUGGCACGUGAAUGCUGUGCACCAUCCUCAUGUGUGGCAGCCAGGGGACCACCCAGCCCUGAAAAGCUGGCCCACACCCCUCAGGGUGAGCUCUCUCUCUCUCUCUUCAUGCCUGAACUUGUUUUUCCUGGCAGUGUAAAGGCCACAUGUUUUGUGGCCUUACAUGUGAGGCGCCUAUGUGGGCUCCUUUUACCCAGCAAGGGGAGAGCGAUAUAAGAAGGGCUUCGUGGGAACAGAACCAUUUAUAACCCGCUAAACUGCCUGUCCUGAUAGAGACCCAGUCCCUCCUGCGUGGAGUAAUGCGUACAAGAUGUGGAGCGCUUCGGGCCAUCCCAGCCAUGUGAGCCGGCCAAGCACUUAUGUUUUGAAUAACCUCUUGGGCGGCGCUUGCUAAUUGAUACCAGCGACAGCUUCGCAGCCCUCGGAGAACAGAGAAGAAGCCAGGAAUCCCCAGGACAAGGGGAGGAUUCACCAACGCCCUUGAGUCACUCCACACCAUCACACGUGUCUGGUCCAGACAAACACUACUAGUGACUGGAAGUGCACUGCCCAUGAACUCCGGCUAGUCUGCUGGAAAACAGCUUCUAGAAAGUUCUUUUCUCAAGGAAUCCAAACCCUGCCUCCACAAGUCUUCAUGUUAGGGCCCUUGCCCAGUCGGUUCUGGUGCCGCCCCUCUCACAGGAGCACCCUUUGCUGCAGGAAGACAAUCCUGAAUUGACCCAAACUGCGUGAGACCCCUAGACUUCGUCUCCCAGGGCUUCUUAGACAAGUAGCUUCCCAAGUGCUUGCUGAGCGGCCCAGCGGGGAAUCCGGAUGAGUUCCAGGUUCAUCCACAGUUUGCACUUAGCUGUGGCAGCUACCAGGAAUUAGGAGGCUUCCUCUCCAGGGUCUCAAAAUAUCUGAGACCCUGAUCUUCACGUCCACUAAUGGGUUAACAGGACUUGUUCGUUCAAUUCUUUGACACUAAGAAACAGCAGCCCUGGUAGAACUGUGCUUGAGAUGUAUCCAGAUCCAGCUUAGGCUCGUAGGCUUCAUAGGUUUCAAGCAAACAGGAAGAUGAGCACACCUGGGAAACUGAGGCUGGGAUUAGGAGAAAUGACAUGUGCCCACAGGUACAUGGCACACUCCCUGGGAUCUGGAACUCUGUGCUUUUGAGGCCUGAUCCAACGCCUUUCCCUUACCCUCAGACAGCUCAGCCAGGCAAAGGGGAUGGGACACAUCAGCUACCAGACACUUGUGUUUCGUGUGUUUCUGGGCACAGGUUGGUGUGGCUUCGAGCAGCCACCGUGCCCCUCCUCCCCUUGAGAGCAAAGAACUGGGUGUUUAUGGACCCCCGCUGUGGUCUCUGGCCCUGGAAACAGGGUGUGCCCACUCAGCCUGAGGGAGCCGAGGCGGCCAGUUCCUGCUCUGCCGCUCUUCUCUGUGCCCGGAAGCCUGAAGGCACAAGGGCUGGCCGCUUUCCCAGAAAACCCAGCUCACUGCCUGCCUGUUCUGUCCUUGAGCUCAGCCCCAGUGCUGUCCCGUGACAGGAUCCAGGUUGGGGAUGGAAGACAGCAGACCUCCUCUGAGGCUUCUGAGAGAGCCUACAAGUUAGGGUCUCCAGGGGUGGUCCCCAGGACCAGGACCCCCCUACCCCAGGCAGCAUGCACCUUCAUUCAGCUUGGGGGGCCUGUAUCUGGAAGACAAAACAAGGGUGCCCUCCCCUCCUUGAUGAGUUACUUCUAAAGGCCCUGUCUCCAGUAUGGGGGGAGGGGACUUGGAGGCUAUCCAGGGGACAGCCUUCAGGCUUCUGUGGUUUCUACUGGCAGGGCUGGAGGACACUCCCCACUCCCCGUAUUGUGUGACCACCUAGGCUGAAGCGAUAGAGUUGACCAGAGGCAACUUUUGAACUCUUUCUUUCCCUACAGUGAGCAGAAAGCCCCUUUCUCCUGCUUUGGUGGGGGUAAGACGUGUUGUUGGAAGCCUGCAGGCACUGACUCUGAAGGGUGGCGUCAAGGAUAGUGGCCACCAGUCAGUCUGUUCUCAAGAUGGUGUCGUGUCUCCCUUAUCGAGUGGCCAGGUGGAAAGGCAUGGGCCGUGGGUAUGGUCAUGUCUCCCUCAUUGUGAAUUUUGUGAGUAACAUACUGAUGCAAAGAAAGCGGUUGCAGUUCAGCCUGAGACUGACUCGGUGCUCUCAUCUGUAAAAUGGAUCCUCAAAAAUGUGGCCCUCUUAAUAGUCACUGGAUUUGAAUGGGCCUUUCCCACUUUGAGGAAGGGUGGGAUCAG